AGAUUGAACGCUGGCGGCAUGCCUUACACAUGCAAGUCGAACGGCAGCACGGGGGCAACUCUGGUGGCGAGUGGCGAACGGGUGAGUAAUAUAUCGGAACGUACCUUGUAGUGGGGGAUAACGCCGCGAAAGCGGCGCUAAUACCGCAUACGCCCUGAGGGGGAAGUGGGGGACUCGCAAGGGCCUCAUGUUAUAAGAGCGGCCGAUAUCUGAUUAGCUAGUUGGUGAGGUAAAGGCUCACCAAGGCAUCGAUCAGUAGCUGGUCUGAGAGGACGACCAGCCACACUGGAACUGAGACACGGUCCAGACUCCGUACGGAGGCAGCAGUGGGAAUUUGGACAAUGGGGGCAACCCGUGAUCCAGCAAUGCCGCGUGAGUGAAGAGGCUUGGUUGUAAGCUCUUUGUACGGAAGAACGAUGGUUUACUAAUAAGAUCUAUUAAUGAACGGUACCGAAGAAUAAG
RNAcentral lists this ribosomal RNA (462 nucleotides) under uncultured soil bacterium. RNAcentral's name for it is "bacterial SSU rRNA". It matches the Rfam family "Bacterial small subunit ribosomal RNA", at positions 26 to 490 of the family's 1533-position model. The record is from RNAcentral.